RNAcentral lists this ribosomal RNA (450 nucleotides) under uncultured bacterium. RNAcentral's name for it is "partial 16S ribosomal RNA". It matches the Rfam family "Bacterial small subunit ribosomal RNA", at positions 354 to 796 of the family's 1533-position model. The record is from RNAcentral.
GUGGGGAAUAUUGGACAAUGGGCGAAAGCCUGAUCCAGCCAUGCCGCGUGUGUGAAGAAGGUCUUCGGAUUGUAAAGCACUUUAAGUUGGGAGGAAGGGUAGUAACCUAAUACGUUGCUACUUUGACGUUACCGACAGAAUAAGCACCGGCUAACUUCGUGCCAGCAGCCGCGGUAAUACGAAGGGUGCAAGCGUUAAUCGGAAUUACUGGGCGUAAAGCGCGCGUAGGUGGUUCAGCAAGUUGGAGGUGAAAUCCCCGGGCUCAACCUGGGAACUGCCUCCAAAACUACUGAGCUAGAGUACGGUAGAGGGUAGUGGAAUUUCCUGUGUAGCGGUGAAAUGCGUAGAUAUAGGAAGGAACACCAGUGGCGAAGGCGACUACCUGGACUGAUACUGACACUGAGGUGCGAAAGCGUGGGGAGCAAACAGGAUUAGAUACCCGAGUAGUCC